Molecule: transfer RNA, 72 nt
Filed under: Bos taurus (domestic cattle)
Lineage: Eukaryota; Metazoa; Chordata; Mammalia; Artiodactyla; Bovidae
Also listed under: 3 other names
Rfam family: tRNA
About the family: Transfer RNA (tRNA) molecules are approximately 80 nucleotides in length. Their secondary structure includes four short double-helical elements and three loops (D, anti-codon, and T loops). Further hydrogen bonds mediate the characteristic L-shaped molecular structure. tRNAs have two regions of fundamental functional importance: the anti-codon, which is responsible for specific mRNA codon recognition, and the 3' end, to which the tRNAs corresponding amino acid is attached (by aminoacyl-tRNA synthetases). tRNAs cope with the degeneracy of the genetic code in two manners: having more than one tRNA (with a specific anti-codon) for a particular amino acid; and 'wobble' base-pairing, i.e. permitting non-standard base-pairing at the 3rd anti-codon position.
Source: Rfam by way of RNAcentral
UCCUUGGUGGUCCAGUGGUAGGAUACCAUGCUCCCAAUGCAUGGGGCCUGGGUUCAAUCCCCAGUCAGGGAA